UUUUGAGCUCAGAAUUAACCACCACCCUCUCAACUGGCAUAUACUAAUAUUUGCCAGAAAGCCAAGAACACCCAAUGGAGAAAGGAGAGUCUCUUCAACACUGAUGCUGAAAAAACAGGACAAACACAUACAGAAAAAUGAAAUUGGAUGCUCUCCUAUACCACUCACAAAAAUGACCUCAAAAUAGAUAAAAGACUUAAAUGUAAGACUUGAAACCGUAAACCUCCCAGGAGGAACCAUAUGAAGAAGUUCCUCGAACUGGAUAUUGGCAAUGACUUUUUUUGGAUAUGACACCAGAAGCACAAAAAAAAACAAAAGCAAAAAUCAACAAGUGGGAGCCCGCCAAACUUAAAAGCCUCUGCACAGCAGAAGCAAACAAAAAUCAACAAAAUAAAAAUGAAAAGGCAACAUAUAGAAUGGGAGAAAUAUUUGCAAACCGUGUGUGUGAUGAAAAGUUAAUAUCCAAAGUAACACCCUCCCUCCCAACAAUUCGAUGAAAAAAAUGGGCAGAGGAACGAAAUAGACAUUUUUCUAAAAAAGAUACCCAAAUGGUCAAUGGGUAUCUGAAAAGAUGCUCAGCAUCACUAGUCAUCAGGGAAAAUGCAAAUCAAAACCGCAAUGAGAUGUCACCUUACACCUGUUAGAAGGACCAUCAUCAAGAAGAUGAGAGAUGACAAGUGCUGGGGAGGCUGUGGAGAAAAGGGAACCCCUGUGCACCGUUGGUGGGGAUGUAAAUUGCUUUGGCCACAACGGAAAACAAUACUGAGGUUCCUCAAAAAAAUGAAAAUAGAAAUAUCAUAUGACCCAGAAAAUUCAUUUCUGGGUAUAUACACAAGGGAAAUGAAAUGAAGAGAGGAUGCUGAAGACCUAUGUGGACUCGCAUGGGUACUGCAGCACCCUUCACAACAGCUAAGGUGUGGAAACAGCCUAAGUGUCACACGCCAGCAGAUGAUGGAUAAGAAGACGUGGUAUAGAUGCACAAUGGGAUAGUCUUCAGCCAUGAGAAAGAAGGACAUCCUGCCAUUGGGGACAUGGUUGGACCUUGAGGACAUAAAGUCAGGCAGAGACAAAUGGAACUCGGCGACUCUCCGUUUCACCGAGAUGUUUUCACCAGCGUUUGCAACUAGUGUGUUGAAUAAGCCGGGCUCGUGGUCUCAGGGGAAUGCAGCUUCAGGUUAGCAGAUUGUCAUUUGAUAAGGUUCAAAUGCACGUGUGAACUCAGCUGAGAUGGACAAGCUGGCCUGGCAAGAAAAUGUGUUCCCCAGCUCUCAGAAAGUGGGUCCAGCUUUUAGGGAAGACAAUGGAACAGAUUUGUUUGGAAGAUUCUGGAAUGUUCCUAGGAUACCUCCUUUUAUUGCCUUCUUCCACCUAAGCAGUCCCUACUGCCUGCAGCUGGAAUGGCCUCGGGCUAGUCCUCUCUGCUCUGCCUGUGCCUCUGCAAACUGAAGAUAGGAUACACGCGGACAAAGGCUUGACAGAGAAUGAAAGACCCCAACCAAGGGGGAGCCAAGGGCCAUCUUAGAAACACAUGUGGCACCUUAAACCAAAAGCACCUUAAAAAAUCACCUAAAAGGAUUUCCCAUCAUGGCGCAGCAGAAACGAAUCCGACUGGAACCGUGAGGUUGUGGGUUUG
This is a non-coding RNA of Sus scrofa (pig), 1633 nucleotides long. The record is from RefSeq and is a predicted model, not a curated record. NCBI's taxonomy places the organism in Eukaryota, Metazoa, Chordata, Mammalia, Artiodactyla, Suidae.